GAUGAACGCUAGCGGCAGGCCUAACACAUGCAAGUCGAGGGAUAAGCCCUUCGGGGUGGAAACCGGCGCACGGGUGCGUAACGCGUAUGCAACCUACCUUUCACAGGGGGAUAGCCCGAAGAAAUUUGGAUUAAUACCCCAUAAUAUUGUUGGAUGGCAUCAUCUGAUAAUUAAAGUUACGAUGGUGAAAGAUGGGCAUGCGUCCUAUUAGCUAGUUGGAGUGGUAACGGCACCCCAAGGCUACGAUAGGUAGGGGUCCUGAGAGGGAGAUCCCCCACACUGGUACUGAGACAGGGACCAGACUCCUACGGGAGGCAGCAGUGAGGAAUAUUGGUCAAUGGUCGAAAGACUGAACCAGCCAUGCCGCGUGCAGGACAGACGGCCCUAGAGGUUGUAAACUGCUUUUAUAUGGGAAGAAUAAGGAGUACGAGUACUUUGAUGACGGUACCAUAUGAAUAAAGCU
RNAcentral lists this ribosomal RNA (463 nucleotides) under Capnocytophaga sp. oral taxon B29. RNAcentral's name for it is "bacterial SSU rRNA". It matches the Rfam family "Bacterial small subunit ribosomal RNA", at positions 28 to 493 of the family's 1533-position model. The record is from RNAcentral. Lineage: Bacteria; Pseudomonadati; Bacteroidota; Flavobacteriia; Flavobacteriales; Flavobacteriaceae.